RNAcentral lists this ribosomal RNA (255 nucleotides) under uncultured bacterium. RNAcentral describes it as "partial 16S ribosomal RNA". It matches the Rfam family "Bacterial small subunit ribosomal RNA", at positions 524 to 776 of the family's 1533-position model. The record is from RNAcentral. RNAcentral also lists the same sequence under 1 other name.
AACGGGGGGGACAAGCGUUAUUCUUAAGGAUUGGGCGUAAAGGGCGCGUAGGUGGUUAAUUAAGUUUUUAGUGAAAGACCCUGGGCUAAACUCGGGCAGCGCUAUUAAUACUAAUUAACUAGAGUUUAUUGGAAGAUAGUGGUACUCUUAAUCCAGAGGUGAAAUUCGGCGAGAUUAAUGGGGACCCUCAAUAGGCGAUAGCGACUAUCUAUGAUAAACUGACACUGAGGUGCGAAAGCAUGGGGAGCAAACAGG